Molecule: ribosomal RNA, 1452 nt
Filed under: Triticum aestivum (bread wheat)
Lineage: Eukaryota; Viridiplantae; Streptophyta; Magnoliopsida; Poales; Poaceae
Description: partial small subunit ribosomal RNA
Source: RNAcentral
AUGGCUUCCAUGGCGCUCGCGGAGGAAAGGGAUGCCUUGGAUUCAUCUAGGAUGCCGAUCGGCACAGGGCUAUCGGUGGAUGUUGCAAUGGAGCCCAAUGAGGAGGGGAUGGGUGAGCAUCCUGUCAAGCCUAGGAAGCCCUACACGAUCACGAAGCAGCGGGAGAAGUGGACGGAGGAAGAGCACGAGAAGUUCCUGGAGGCGCUGAAGCUGUAUGGCCGGUCCUGGCGUCAGAUACAAGAACACAUUGGCACAAAGACCGCUGUCCAAAUCCGAAGCCAUGCCCAGAAGUUUUUCUCCAAGGUGGUGCGUGAACCUGGUGCUAAAAUUGAGAUCGAGAUCCCUCCCCCCAGGCCAAAGAGGAAACCACUGCAUCCAUAUCCUCGCAAGCGCGCGAACUCCUGCAAUGGGGCAAACGCAGCAAAUGGUCAAUCCAAGCUUGCUCAUAUGUCAUCUUCUUCUGGUUCUGACCAAGAGAAUGGUUCUCCCGUGUCGGUGAUAUCUGCAAUGCAGUCGGAUGCUUUUGGAUCAUCGAUGUCAAACCCGUCAUCUCGCAGUGCCUCCCCAGAGUCGUCAGAUGAGGAGAAUAUUGUUCUUCCAAUGGUGAACGGAGGGGAAGGUCAACAAACAGGGAUAGAUCAAUCCCACAAGGAAGCUGAUCAGGAAAACAAAGAUACGGGUACCUCUGAAGAGGAUUCUUCUGAUGAGGUACAGGUAACAAGCGUGAAGCUGUUUGGGAAGACGGUCGUUAUCCCAGACCCGAGGAAAAGAUGCUCCCCGGAUACAGGCUCAGGGCAUGAAAACAGAGAGCAACCCUCAGAGUCCUCUAACAAAGGAACAUCACAAGCCCCACUGGCUGUAGAUAUUCCAACACAUACAAAGGGAGAGCAAAUCUCACAAUCCUCUAACAAGGCAACAUCACAAGCCCCAUUGGCUGUAGAGGUUCCGACGUAUACAAAUGGAGAGCAAAUCUCAGAAUUCUCUUACAAGGCAACAUCACAAGCCCCAUUGGCUGUAGAAAUUCAAGCAUACGCUGCGCCGCCAAGUGGGUGGGUUCUUCCAUACAAUUCAUUCCCGCUCCAUUUCGGGGAAUCAGCGGAAGCCAGAAUUGCCCGUUUGCACAUGUGGUGGCCAUACUAUGGGUUUCCUAUGGUCCAUCCAAGUGGACCGAGUGCAGUGGCACACAAUGGAAAAGCUACUGAUGAGAGCGAAGCUGCGAAGAGCCCUCCAGUUGAAUCAAGCUCGGACUUCGUUGACAAUACUCAGGCAACAGCCAGCAAGCAGUGGAAAGUGCUUGAGUCGCUUGGAACAGCGCAGGCCCCUCCGUCGGUUUCUAAUUUUCAGCUUAAACCAAGCACGAACUCGGCCUUCGUGAGAGUGAAGCCGAUCGUCAGCAGCGGAGAUGAGCCGGUGAGGGGGUUUGCGCCGUACAAAAGAUGUAGAGUCGAAUGA